This 204-nucleotide long non-coding RNA is filed under the name Mytilus galloprovincialis (Mediterranean mussel). The record is from RNAcentral. Lineage: Eukaryota; Metazoa; Mollusca; Bivalvia; Mytilida; Mytilidae.
UUGGUGAAUGGAAAUGUUUUAUGAUGUGCAGGUCAUUCUGGCAGUUUUAUUUGACAUCCCAACCUUAUUUUCACGGUUCAUUGCUCAAUGUUUAAGUUUUUUGUGACUGUUUUCCCUAAAUUAAAAGCAAGAAGUAAACUAUAUUUGAUAAAUGAAAUGAUUGUAAGAUGUAUGUCUGUCUGGUACAUAUCAUCAGACCUUGUU